This 64-nucleotide transfer RNA is filed under the name Macropostrongyloides baylisi. Its description in RNAcentral is "tRNA-Lys". It matches the Rfam family "tRNA". From Rfam's summary of the family: Transfer RNA (tRNA) molecules are approximately 80 nucleotides in length. Their secondary structure includes four short double-helical elements and three loops (D, anti-codon, and T loops). Lineage: Eukaryota; Metazoa; Nematoda; Chromadorea; Rhabditida; Strongylidae. The record is from RNAcentral.
GAGGUGUUAACUUAAAGUUAAAGUGUCAAAUUUUUAAUUUGAAUAUGUAUUAUACACACCUUAA